CACGUAGGGCGCAAGCGUUGUCCGGAAUUAUUGGGCGUAAAGAGCUCGUAGGCGGUCUGUUGCGUCCGCUGUGAAAACUCGGGGCUUAACCCCGAGCCUGCAGUGGAUACGGGCAGACUGGAGGUAGGUAGGGGAGAAUGGAAUUCCCGGUGUAGCGGUGAAAUGCGCAGAUAUCGGGAGGAACACCGGUGGCGAAGGCGGCUUUCUGGUCCGAUACUGACGCUGAGGUGCGAAAGCGUGGGGAGCGAACAGG
This 253-nucleotide ribosomal RNA is filed under the name uncultured bacterium. RNAcentral's name for it is "partial 16S ribosomal RNA". It matches the Rfam family "Bacterial small subunit ribosomal RNA", at positions 524 to 776 of the family's 1533-position model. The record is from RNAcentral.